This 935-nucleotide ribosomal RNA is filed under the name Lactiplantibacillus pentosus. RNAcentral describes it as "bacterial SSU rRNA". It matches the Rfam family "Bacterial small subunit ribosomal RNA", at positions 46 to 950 of the family's 1533-position model. The record is from RNAcentral. Lineage: Bacteria; Bacillati; Bacillota; Bacilli; Lactobacillales; Lactobacillaceae.
GCUUAUACAUGCAAGUCGACGAACUCUGGUAUUGAUUGGUGCUUGCAUCAUGAUUUACAUUUGAGUGAGUGGCGAACUGGUGAGUAACACGUGGGAAACCUGCCCAGAAGCGGGGGAUAACACCUGGAAACAGAUGCUAAUACCGCAUAACAACUUGGACCGCAUGGUCCGAGUUUGAAAGAUGGCUUCGGCUAUCACUUUUGGAUGGUCCCGCGGCGUAUUAGCUAGAUGGUGAGGUAACGGCUCACCAUGGCAAUGAUACGUAGCCGACCUGAGAGGGUAAUCGGCCACAUUGGGACUGAGACACGGCCCAAACUCCUACGGGAGGCAGCAGUAGGGAAUCUUCCACAAUGGACGAAAGUCUGAUGGAGCAACGCCGCGUGAGUGAAGAAGGGUUUCGGCUCGUAAAACUCUGUUGUUAAAGAAGAACAUAUCUGAGAGUAACUGUUCAGGUAUUGACGGUAUUUAACCAGAAAGCCACGGCUAACUACGUGCCAGCAGCCGCGGUAAUACGUAGGUGGCAAGCGUUGUCCGGAUUUAUUGGGCGUAAAGCGAGCGCAGGCGGUUUUUUAAGUCUGAUGUGAAAGCCUUCGGCUCAACCGAAGAAGUGCAUCGGAAACUGGGAAACUUGAGUGCAGAAGAGGACAGUGGAACUCCAUGUGUAGCGGUGAAAUGCGUAGAUAUAUGGAAGAACACCAGUGGCGAAGGCGGCUGUCUGGUCUGUAACUGACGCUGAGGCUCGAAAGUAUGGGUAGCAAACAGGAUUAGAUACCCUGGUAGUCCAUACCGUAACGAUGAAUGCUAAGUGUUGGAGGGUUUCCGCCCUUCAGUGCUGCAGCUAACGCAUUAAGCAUUCCGCCUGGGGGAGUACGGCGCAAGGCUGAAACUCAANGAAUUGACGGGGGCCCGCACCAGCGUGGAGCAUGUGGUUUAUU